CACUAGAAGCCGAUGAAGGACGUUACUAACGACGAUAUGCUUUGGGGAGCUGUAAGUAAGCUUUGAUCCAGAGAUUUCCGAAUGGGGAAACCCAGCAUGAGUUAUGUCAUGUUAUCGAUAUGUGAAUACAUAGCAUAUCAGAAGGCACACCCGGAGAACUGAAACAUCUUAGUACCCGGAGGAAGAGAAAGAAAAUUCGAUUCCCUUAGUAGCGGCGAGCGAAACGGGAAGAGCCCAAACCAAAAAGCUUGCUUGUUGGGGUUGUAGGACACUCUAUACGGAGUUACAAAGGACGACAUUAGACGAAUCAUCUGGAAAGAUGAAUCAAAGAAGGUAAUAAUCCUGUAGUCGAAAAUGUUGUCUCUCUUGAGUGGAUCCUGAGUACGACGGAGCACGUGAAAUUCCGUCGGAAUCUGGGAGGACCAUCUCCUAAGGCUAAAUACUCUCUAGUGACCGAUAGUGAACCAGUACCGUGAGGGAAAGGUGAAAAGCACCCCGGAAGGGGAGUGAAAUAGAACCUGAAACCGUGUGCUUACAAGUAGUCAGAGCCCGUUAAUGGGUGAUGGCGUGCCUUUUGUAGAAUGAACCGGCGAGUUACGAUUUGAUGCAAGGUUAAGCAGUAAAUGUGGAGCCGUAGCGAAAGCGAGUCUGAAUAGGGCGUUUAGUAUUUGGUCGUAGACCCGAAACCAGGUGAUCUACCCUUGGUCAGGUUGAAGUUCAGGUAACACUGAAUGGAGGACCGAACCGACUUACGUUGAAAAGUGAGCGGAUGAACUGAGGGUAGCGGAGAAAUUCCAAUCGAACCUGGAGAUAGCUGGUUCUCUCCGAAAUAGCUUUAGGGCUAGCCUCAAGUGAUGAUUAUUGGAGGUAGAGCACUGUUUGGACGAGGGGCCCCUCUCGGGUUACCGAAUUCAGACAAACUCCGAAUGCCAAUUAAUUUAACUUGGGAGUCAGAACAUGGGUGAUAAGGUCCGUGUUCGAAAGGGAAACAGCCCAGACCACCAGCUAAGGUCCCAAAAUAUAUGUUAAGUGGAAAAGGAUGUGGCGUUGCCCAGACAACUAGGAUGUUGGCUUAGAAGCAGCCAUCAUUUAAAGAGUGCGUAAUAGCUCACUAGUCGAGUGACACUGCGCCGAAAAUGUACCGGGGCUAAACAUAUUACCGAAGCUGUGGAUUGUCCUUUGGACAAUGGUAGGAGAGCGUUCUAAGGGCGUUGAAGCAUGAUCGUAAGGACAUGUGGAGCGCUUAGAAGUGAGAAUGCCGGUGUGAGUAGCGAAAGACGGGUGAGAAUCCCGUCCACCGAUUGACUAAGGUUUCCAGAGGAAGGCUCGUCCGCUCUGGGUUAGUCGGGUCCUAAGCUGAGGCCGACAGGCGUAGGCGAUGGAUAACAGGUUGAUAUUCCUGUACCACCUAUAAUCGUUUUAAUCGAUGGGGGGACGCAGUAGGAUAGGCGAAGCGUGCGAUUGGAUUGCACGUCUAAGCAGUAAGGCUGAGUAUUAGGCAAAUCCGGUACUCGUUAAGGCUGAGCUGUGAUGGGGAGAAGACAUUGUGUCUUCGAGUCGUUGAUUUCACACUGCCGAGAAAAGCCUCUAGAUAGAAAAUAGGUGCCCGUACCGCAAACCGACACAGGUAGUCAAGAUGAGAAUUCUAAGGUGAGCGAGCGAACUCUCGUUAAGGAACUCGGCAAAAUGACCCCGUAACUUCGGGAGAAGGGGUGCUCUUUAGGGUUAACGCCCAGAAGAGCCGCAGUGAAUAGGCCCAAGCGACUGUUUAUCAAAAACACAGGUCUCUGCUAAACCGUAAGGUGAUGUAUAGGGGCUGACGCCUGCCCGGUGCUGGAAGGUUAAGAGGAGUGGUUAGCUUCUGCGAAGCUACGAAUCGAAGCCCCAGUAAACGGCGGCCGUAACUAUAACGGUCCUAAGGUAGCGAAAUUCCUUGUCGGGUAAGUUCCGACCCGCACGAAAGGCGUAACGAUUUGGGCACUGUCUCAACGAGAGACUCGGUGAAAUCAUAGUACCUGUGAAGAUGCAGGUUACCCGCGACAGGACGGAAAGACCCCGUGGAGCUUUACUGUAGCCUGAUAUUGAAAUUCGGCACAGCUUGUACAGGAUAGGUAGGAGCCUUUGAAACGUGAGCGCUAGCUUACGUGGAGGCGCUGGUGGGAUACUACCCUAGCUGUGUUGGCUUUCUAACCCGCACCACUUA
This 2203-nucleotide ribosomal RNA is filed under the name Staphylococcus aureus. RNAcentral describes it as "partial 23S ribosomal RNA". It matches the Rfam family "Bacterial large subunit ribosomal RNA", at positions 37 to 2238 of the family's 2925-position model. The record is from RNAcentral. Lineage: Bacteria; Bacillati; Bacillota; Bacilli; Caryophanales; Staphylococcaceae.